Molecule: long non-coding RNA, 399 nt
Filed under: Panax ginseng (ginseng)
Lineage: Eukaryota; Viridiplantae; Streptophyta; Magnoliopsida; Apiales; Araliaceae
Description: long non-coding RNA (PGIN_LNC018547)
Source: RNAcentral
GGCAAAAGAAUUUUCCUUUGUGCUUCCACAAUCGUUCACCAAUUAAUGUUACAACAUGUAAACCCAUGUUUCCUCUACGCUGAGACAAUGAAACCUUUCACUAAUUCUUUCCUAAGUUCGACACAUUAUAUACAACCUACCCAUUUAGAUAUAACCCAAUAACGUGGGAUACAUAAUGUGGAUACUAUUAAUAACUAACAGUUAUAGAAGAACCAGGCUCCAUCCUAUGUUCAUGACCAUAUUGAUCAUUACAACUUAUCGCCUUCCCUGCUCCACUCUAGCCUCAUCAACUUCCUUGGCUUUGGCUGACUGCUGCUGCAGUCUGCGUCGAAUGUUCUUGAUGCCGGUGGCAUCAUCAAUGAUUUCUUUACAAUGUUCACAUUAUAAUGUUUUGACUCU